Molecule: long non-coding RNA, 622 nt
Organism: Nicotiana attenuata
Lineage: Eukaryota; Viridiplantae; Streptophyta; Magnoliopsida; Solanales; Solanaceae
Exons: 2
Source: RefSeq, a predicted model, not a curated record
GAGCAAAGAACUACAAAUAAACACAACUUCCCCCACUUCAAGUUUCAAGAUAAAGCAUUGUCAAUGGCUGGAACUAAAUUUGCUUUCUUUUUUGCUGCUCUCCUCUUGGCGAUUGUUGUUAAUCCAUCCAUGUUAGCUCGCCGAAGAUGAAAGUGAAAGCAUUGAGAAACUUACCCUUAGAUAUGGAUAUGGAAAUGGUUGAAAGAAAUCUAUUGUUCUCAAGACUAAAAGAUGAUGGUUGGCUAACUUGUAAGAGACCUUGCAACCAGAAUAGUGAUUGCUCCGACAGUUGGCUUUGCAAUUCAUGUGGAUAUCCUGUCGUCGGGCAUAGAUAUAUGCAAUGCCUCCUUCCUCCAGAAUCCUCAAAGUAUGCUCAAGUGAUUCCAACUGCAUUCAUCGCGGGAGGUGAAAACCUGAGAGAAUAGCUCUAAUAAAUAAAUAAAUAAAUAAAUAGAAUUGCAUGUGUUUAUGUUGCUUUUGAUUUACCUACGUUGAGUGAAUAAGUGACGACUAAGAUUUUACAUGUCCCAAUAUUGGUCGUUUAUUUUCUAUCAUAUAUGUAUGUGCGUACUUACUAUACAUAUUAAUCUUGGUGAAUGAAAUAAGUUAUGCAGUUUGUGUA